This 253-nucleotide ribosomal RNA is filed under the name uncultured bacterium. Its description in RNAcentral is "partial 16S ribosomal RNA". It matches the Rfam family "Bacterial small subunit ribosomal RNA", at positions 524 to 776 of the family's 1533-position model. The record is from RNAcentral.
UACGUAGGGGGCUAGCGUUGUUCGGAAUUACUGGGCGUAAAGCGCACGUAGGCGGGGCUGUAAGUAGGGGGUGAAAUCCCAGGGCUCAACCCUGGAACUGCCUUCUAGACUGCAGGCCUCGAGGUCAGGAGAGGCGAGUGGAAUACCGAGUGUAGAGGUGAAAUUCGUAGAUAUUCGGUGGAACACCAGUGGCGAAGGCGACUCGCUGGACUGAUACUGACGCUGAGGUGCGAAAGCGUGGGGAGCAAACAGG